GCCUGGAUGGCUCAGUCGGUUGAGCGUCGGACUUCAGCUCAGAUCAUGAUCUCGCGGUUUGUGGGUUCCAGCCCCUCAUCGGGCU
RNAcentral lists this transfer RNA (85 nucleotides) under Felis catus (domestic cat). It matches the Rfam family "tRNA". From Rfam's summary of the family: Transfer RNA (tRNA) molecules are approximately 80 nucleotides in length. Lineage: Eukaryota; Metazoa; Chordata; Mammalia; Carnivora; Felidae. The record is from Rfam by way of RNAcentral.